UACGGGGGGGGCAAGCGUUAAUCGGAAUUACUGGGCGUAAAGCGUGCGCAGGCGGUGAUGUAAGACAGGUGUGAAAUCCCCGGGCUUAACCUGGGAACUGCAUUUGUGACUGCAUCGCUGGAGUGCGGCAGAGGGGGAUGGAAUUCCGCGUGUAGCAGUGAAAUGCGUAGAUAUGCGGAGGAACACCGAUGGCGAAGGCAAUCCCCUGGGCCUGCACUGACGCUCAUGCACGAAAGCGUGGGGAGCAAACAGG
Molecule: ribosomal RNA, 253 nt
Filed under: uncultured bacterium
Lineage: Bacteria
Description: partial 16S ribosomal RNA
Rfam family: Bacterial small subunit ribosomal RNA
Source: RNAcentral